GCAAAUAUAUAUAAACAAUAUCAAACUACAUAUUCAGUGUACUCUAAUUAUGGGGAUCAACAGAAUCACUUGAAGGGCGGGAUGAUAACGCCCUCUGCCUCAUCAUUACAUGAUAGAUCAAUCCAAGCACCUGAGAUAAUUUCAAACAUUUCGUUAUUAAGUAUCAAGAACCCUAAAUGAUAAUACAUCAUUAGAGCACAAGGCAACAGAUUUAUGUUUAUAGUUUUGCUCUACUGAUAAUACAAACAUGCCCCACUUUUACCACCUAGGAGACGAUGCUGAAGAGCAACUGAAAGUUCUGUUGACAGGUCCUCAACGCCUCUGCCCUGAAUAAGUUGUGAAUAAAAAAUAACUUAUGAAAAAAAAAAACAAAUAAUUAGACCAACAAAAUCUAAUGGAGAUUAUCUCAAUUUAGUUCUUAGUUACACAAUGGAUAAGCAUCUUUACAAGAAUUGGAAAGACGACAAUGAUCAAAACACCAACGUCAAUUUGAACAUCAAUCAUCAAGCAAAUAGUAGCAUCUGCAAGUGUCCAGCUAAAGUAAUAAUGAGAUAAUUUUCAAGAAUGUUUAAUAGAUAAUAAAAUGCUUUCAAAAAGUACCUUGAUAAGCAUGACCAUUUGCAUGGAGAAAUUUAGGGUAAAUUACCAAAAACAUGGCAUAAUAUACACUUUUUGUCAUUGAUAUUUUAAACUCAGUUACCCCGGUCCCUAAAGUUUAUUAACAACUCUAAAUUUUAGUCCUUAACUAUAAAACUAAAAAAUUUUCAUUACACUCUUAUCCCUAAUAUUUUAACACUUAGUCCCUCAAAAUAUUAAAAUUUUCAUUGAUGGUAGCAUGAGGACCAAAAAUGUUAGUUUGAAACAAUAAAGAUCAAAGUUUAUAGCUAAUCUUGGGAGUUUUUAGUAAUUUACACAAAAAAGAUAAUUAAAACAAUGAGUGGUAAAAUAGUAAUUCCCAUCAAGUGUCAAGAUGCCACAAAUGUUUUCAACUGGACUAUUCAUGAGAAAACACAAUCGUAGUCACAAUCCUUAUCACAGAUUAUUAUCAAGAAUCAACCUUAUCAUACAGGCAUCUAUUAAGAGGGUAGAGAUGGUGGAAAGCAUAUAACCUCAAAUGUUGGUUCUGCAACUAGGCUACAAUCGACAAAUACAGCAACCUUUCCCUUGUCAGGCUGCAAUGCACUUGGCCUUCCAAGCUCAGCCUGCACAUAAACAAAUAAGCAAUGUAUUUGAAACUUGAAGGAUAAAAAUAACUCGACCAAUGAAAUUUUAAAAUCACUUGGUAGAAGAGUGUCUUUUGCCACCUUCACACUACCAAUAAACUCUGUUGCACCUAUCCUAACUCGUGUUGAGCCAUUUGCCUGUAAUGAAACUCAUAAAACACCAAAUUUAGAAGAGUGGGUAAAAUUAAAAAAGAACAAACAAAAAUGCACAAGACUCCACAAGAUCCGUUUUAAAAUCAAUGUUGGUUGAUAGAAGAUUUGGCCACCUGAGGCAUGACUCCAGUUUCAACAAAAAUGGGUCGAUAGGUAUCUCGUUUUCGACCAUCAGAGCGGAGAUUUUGAUUAAUGCCACCCUGUAUGAAAUGCUUUUCUCCAACUGAGAGUCCUACCAUUACUAACACUUAAAAGAUAAUAUGUAAAUAAACAAUGAUAGUGAAAAGUAAGGGAACUCAUAGAAUCAAAAACAAUUAAAAGAAUCAAGUUGACUGAAUUGCUGAAGAAAACUGAACUAAACGGAUACCAUUAAUUAAAAUCUAGUCCAAAACUUAACAAAACAACCCUAAAAAGUGAAAAGAGACCAAAAAAUACAAUUCCUGCAUCCCCAAAAAAAAAAAAAAUCCUGCAUACUCAUCAGAAUACAAGUUUCUAAGGCAUUAUUUGCAACAAAAUUGGACUCAGAAUGCAAUUAGUCUAAAAAUUAUCAACAUCAAUUUCAGCUCCCCUUCACACAAUUCAAUACCAAAAGGACCAAAAGAAACAACAAAAGAAAAAUUAAACUCACCUGACAAGUGAGAAGUGACUCAAUGUUGAGAUUCAAGAAAGGAGCGAAUGACUGAAUUAUGGAUGCUUGUAACAAUUUCAGAGGCUGGAGGACUAGAGCAAGGCUAGUGGUGGAGGAGAAGCAGGAGAGAAUGAGGUGAGAUAGUGAUGGGUAACGGAUAAAGGUGACAGCAGUAGAGAAGAGGAUGCGAGAUAGUGCUCAAAUUCAAGUGCGUUUCAAACCAAGGUGUUGCAAAGGAUUACUCAAAGGAAAUAAUUUUAAAGGAUAAAAAUGACUAAAGGGGUAUCCCCUUUCAAAUCAUUGAAAUUGAAAUUAAAUUUGAAAAGAGCUAUUUUUUAAUAGAGAAAUUGGAAGUGAUUAAAGAGGCAUCCCCCUUCAAAUCACCAGAAUUAAAAUUAAAUUUGAAAAGAGCAAAAUUUUAAUAGAUGAAUAGGAAGUGAUUAAAGGAGCAUCCCCCUUUGAAUCACCAGGAUUAAAAUUAAAUUUGAACUGAGCAUAUUUUUAAUAGAGGAAUAGGAAGUGAUUAAAGGGGAUCACUGGAAUUGAAAUUAAAUAUAUUUUUUAAAAAAUGAACAGGAAGGUGAUUGGUUCUAAAAUUGUCAUAAGGUAUAUCUUAAGAGGAAAAUUCACUAUAAGAUGAUUGGUUCCAAUACCAAUUUUCGAAUCAUUCAUCAUCUAUGCAUAGAAAGCAACUUUAACUUCAUUUAAUUCUCAACAUACGAAUUUAUUUAGAAAAUAGAACAAUAAAAUUCACAUUUUUAAAGAAAAGGUUCAAGUUGCUAAAAUAUCAGUAGUCACAAAAAGAAUAACUAAUUUAAACCACAAGGACAAAUCUCAUGUAUAACCAGGCUCCAAAAACCAAAAUCUCAUGUAUAACUUUAUUUCAAGGGCAAAUCUAGCAACAUAUUGAUAAUCAAUGAACUAAAAACCCAAAAUUUCAUAUAUAGCCUUUAUCUCAAGGACGAAUCUCGCAAUGAAUUGAUAAUCACUGAACUAAAGGAAAACAUGACUUUGACAGCCACAAAAUAGAACUUAUAACUAUAAUAUGAUGGCUGUGAAUCAAAUACGAAAGAAUAAGUAUAAGAAGAAGAAAAUAAUAGACAAAAACAGAGACAUUUCAAAACCAUAACACCUCCAAAUUCCAGUUCAAGAAUACACUAAUCUCCCCUGCAUCAAUCACGAGUUCAUUCUAAUUUUCAAAAUGCAACCUUAUCAAACAGAAGAAUAAAAUUAAUAUAUGUAGGGAAGCUUAUUCUUUUCCGUUUACAAUAGUCUAAAUAUGGGAGACACAAAGAAAAAGGUAUAAUAGUGAGUAAUGAAAGCAAUAGAUCCCAAAAUCUUCAAAUUUCAUACAAGUACUACCCUACAAAAGGCAUCAUUUAGCUUACCCAGCAGCCAAGAACCAACAAGAGUUAAUCAAAAUGCCAUUUUCAAACAAUAAAACAACUGGAAUAAACCAGAGACAUUUUAUAAAACACUCUUUAAUGAAACAGAUUUUAUUUUCACCUAAAACCCAGAUA
This 3524-nucleotide unclassified non-coding RNA is filed under the name Hevea brasiliensis (rubber tree). The record is from RNAcentral. Lineage: Eukaryota; Viridiplantae; Streptophyta; Magnoliopsida; Malpighiales; Euphorbiaceae.